Molecule: long non-coding RNA, 466 nt
Filed under: Nicotiana benthamiana
Lineage: Eukaryota; Viridiplantae; Streptophyta; Magnoliopsida; Solanales; Solanaceae
Description: long non-coding RNA (NBEN_LNC026345)
Source: RNAcentral
AUGUAGACAAGCCUUACCCCUACCCGAAAGGGCAGAGAGGCUAUUUCCAAUCGACCCCCGGCUCAUAUGAUAAAAAGAAAAACAGCAGUAAAACAAAAACAAAGACAACACCAAAAACAAAAACAACAACAAUAGAACAUUAGUAUCUCCAGCAGAAAUAGCAUAAAUAGCGUAAAUAAUUAUCUAAACAUACGAAACAUAAAUACAAUCUCAUGCAAUAAUAUCAUACAGUAACUACCAUAACUAACAACCAUAGAGGGGACAUAAGCUAAAACACAAAUCAUCUAUGGGUAACCCUGCUGACCCACACCCAAUCCCGGAAGAGGCGUACGAAAAACUCGAGGAGCCCCUAUCCUACAACACUGAUUCUAGACCUCCAGACUUUCCUAUCAAGGGUCUUGUCCUCGGAAACCUGCAUUCUAGUCAUGUCCUGCCUAAUCACUUCUCCCCAAUACUUCUUAGNNNN